RNAcentral lists this ribosomal RNA (468 nucleotides) under uncultured bacterium. Its description in RNAcentral is "partial 16S ribosomal RNA". It matches the Rfam family "Bacterial small subunit ribosomal RNA", at positions 28 to 507 of the family's 1533-position model. The record is from RNAcentral.
GACGAACGCUGGCGGCGUGCUUAACACAUGCAAGUCGAACGGAAAGGCCCUGCUUUUGUGGGGUGCUCGAGUGGCGAACGGGUGAGUAACACGUGAGUAACCUGCCCUUGACUUUGGGAUAACUUCAGGAAACUGGGGCUAAUACCGGAUAGGAGCUCCUGCUGCAUGGUGGGGGUUGGAAAGUUUCGGCGGUUGGGGAUGGACUCGCGGCUUAUCAGCUUGUUGGUGGGGUAGUGGCUUACCAAGGCUUUGACGGGUAGGCGGCCUGAGAGGGUGACCGGCCACAUUGGGACUGAGAUACGGCCCAGACUCCUACGGGAGGCAGCAGUGGGGAAUAUUGCACAAUGGGCGGAAGCCUGAUGCAGCAACGCCGCGUGCGGGAUGACGGCCUUCGGGUUGUAAACCGCUUUCGCCUGUGACGAAGCGUGAGUGACGGUAAUGGGUAAAGAAGCACCGGCUAGCUACGUG